RNAcentral lists this transfer RNA (76 nucleotides) under Myxococcales bacterium. Its description in RNAcentral is "tRNA-Leu". It matches the Rfam family "tRNA". From Rfam's summary of the family: Transfer RNA (tRNA) molecules are approximately 80 nucleotides in length. Their secondary structure includes four short double-helical elements and three loops (D, anti-codon, and T loops). Further hydrogen bonds mediate the characteristic L-shaped molecular structure. tRNAs have two regions of fundamental functional importance: the anti-codon, which is responsible for specific mRNA codon recognition, and the 3' end, to which the tRNAs corresponding amino acid is attached (by aminoacyl-tRNA synthetases). tRNAs cope with the degeneracy of the genetic code in two manners: having more than one tRNA (with a specific anti-codon) for a particular amino acid; and 'wobble' base-pairing, i.e. permitting non-standard base-pairing at the 3rd anti-codon position. The record is from RNAcentral. Lineage: Bacteria; Pseudomonadati; Myxococcota; Myxococcia; Myxococcales. RNAcentral also lists the same sequence under 1 other name.
GCGGAUGUAGCCCAAUGGCAGAGGCAGCGGUCCGAGAUGCCGUCCAGUGAAGGUUCGAAUCCCUCCAUCCGCAACA